Molecule: non-coding RNA, 246 nt
Organism: Pelobates cultripes (western spadefoot toad)
Lineage: Eukaryota; Metazoa; Chordata; Amphibia; Anura; Pelobatidae
Source: the annotation of a GenBank genome assembly
GAGAACGGCUGGGUCGCGUUUGCAGGGGUUCAUCCAUCACCCCGUAUCCGAAGGAAGAGUCAAAGAUCGUUUUGCCAAUCCAAGUUUGUAUGUGAAGUAAUCACCAUCGAAAUUCCAUCCUCACUUCCGCUGACAGUGGGAUCCAGUGGUCGUAUGAGUGACCGGUGCGUACGUAUCUCACCAUCAGUCGUAGUGGGCCAGGGAAUAACGCUUGUAUGGAGGAGGAGAGGAAUCCCACAAUCCGAC